RNAcentral lists this long non-coding RNA (678 nucleotides) under Numida meleagris (helmeted guineafowl). Its description in RNAcentral is "lncRNA (ENSNMEG00000014679.1)". The record is from RNAcentral. Lineage: Eukaryota; Metazoa; Chordata; Aves; Galliformes; Numididae.
AUGUGGAGGAGAUCUGCAAAUAGUGAGCUAAGACGCCAGUGCAUAUUGCAAGUACCUGGAUAUACAGCCUCAUCAAGUACAAGUAAGGUACAAGAAGAAAUAUCUGAAUGGACAAGAUCUGAAAUUAGAAGUGAGCUAAAGAAGAAUGGAACUUUCAGAAGUUUUCAAGAAGUUACUUUUAAAGAGCAAUGUAUGACAGCUCCCUGCAGUGUCCUAAUGAGGAUACAGACUGAAAGAAUAAAGUAGUCUCAGGUCUUAUAGAAUCAGCCAAUCCACAAAAACUCAUUUGUAGUUUUCUCUGCAAAAGAAAAAAAUGAGCAGAGAGUAUACAUGUAAAUAUAGAGCAGAAGGAUAUGUCUUAAUUCCAACACAUGAACACAUUUGUUACAGAAUGGCAGAAAUAUAACUUUCAUGAUGGGAUAAGAUUGCUCACCUAAAUAGGAGGUGUCUUGCACAAAUGAUAAAAUUUAAUUUAAUUUAUACAAGAUUUUUUAGUAUUCUACUGCAUGAUCUUCCUACCUUUUGUAAUGUAGAAACGAUCUCUGCUCAUCGUUACAUUCAUUGCAAUAUGAAGUAUUUAAAAACUUCACCAUGUGCUACCUCAUGGUGACAGCUUGGUAUGAAUUUCAAAAUGUAGGUCCCCUAGGUAAGUCUAGAAUAAAUUCUAUUGUGCAUACA